This 584-nucleotide ribosomal RNA is filed under the name Schizophyllum commune. Its description in RNAcentral is "LSU rRNA". It matches the Rfam family "Eukaryotic large subunit ribosomal RNA", at positions 87 to 655 of the family's 3401-position model. Lineage: Eukaryota; Fungi; Basidiomycota; Agaricomycetes; Agaricales; Schizophyllaceae. The record is from RNAcentral.
CUGCGAGUGAAGCGGGAAAAGCUCAAAUUUAAAAUCUGGCGGUCUCCGGCCGUCCGAGUUGUAAUUUAGAGAAGCGUUAUCCGUGCUGGACCGUGUAUAAGUCUCCUGGAAUGGAGCGUCAUAGAGGGUGAGAAUCCCGUCUUUGACACGGACUACCAGUGCAUUGUGAUGCGCUCUCGACGAGUCGAGUUGUUUGGGAAUGCAGCUCAAAAUGGGUGGUAAAUGCCAUCUAAAGCUAAAUAUUGGCGAGAGACCGAUAGCGAACAAGUACCGUGAGGGAAAGAUGAAAAGAACUUUGGAAAGAGAGUUAAACAGUACGUGAAAUUGUCGAAAGGGAAACGGUUGCAGUCAGUCGCGUCCGCCGGGGAUCAACCUUGCUUUUGCUUGGCGUAUUUCCCGGUGGAUGGGUCAGCAUCAGUUUUGACCGCAGUUGAAAGGCUGGAGGAAUGUGGCACCUUCGGGUGUGUUAUAGCCUCCUGUCAUAUGCUGCGGUUGGGACUGAGGAACUCAGCACGCCGCAAGGCCGGGAUUCGUCCACGUUCGUGCUUAGGAUGCUGGCAUAAUGUCUGUAACCGACCCGUCUU